RNAcentral lists this ribosomal RNA (469 nucleotides) under uncultured beta proteobacterium. RNAcentral's name for it is "bacterial SSU rRNA". It matches the Rfam family "Bacterial small subunit ribosomal RNA", at positions 912 to 1382 of the family's 1533-position model. Lineage: Bacteria; Pseudomonadati; Pseudomonadota; Betaproteobacteria. The record is from RNAcentral.
GGACGGGGGCCCGCACAAGCGGUGGAGUAUGUUCUUUAAUUCGACGCACGACGAAAACCUUACCACGCUUGACAUGCCCGGACGACUUUCAGAGAUGAUUGUCUUCCCGCAAGGGACUGGAACACAGGUGCUGCAUGGCUGUCGUCAGCUCGUGUCGUGAGAUGUUGGGUUAAGUCCCGCAACGAGCGCAACCCUUGCCAUUAGUUGCUACAUUCAGUUGGGCACUCUAAUGGGACCGCCGGUGACAAACCGGAGGAAGGUGGGGAUGACGUCAAGUCCUCAUGGCCCUUAUGGGUAGGGCUUCACACGUAAUACAAUGGUCGGUACAGAGGGCUGCCAACCCGCAAGGGGGAGCUAAUCCCAGAAAGCCGAUCGUAGUCCGGAUUGUAGUCUGCAACUCGACUGCAUGAAGCCGGAAUCGCUAGUAAUCGCGGAUCAGCAUGUCGCGGUGAAUACGUUCCCGGGUCUU